Molecule: non-coding RNA, 383 nt
Organism: Maylandia zebra (zebra mbuna)
Lineage: Eukaryota; Metazoa; Chordata; Actinopteri; Cichliformes; Cichlidae
Source: RefSeq, a predicted model, not a curated record
AGAGUCUCCAUCCAGCUGGAUCACUGUCACAGGGAGACCUACAACCACAACCUCGCCCACCACUUCUACAAAUAUGCCACCUACCUCUGCUUUGUCCCCUUACUCUACCACCCUCCAUCUUGUGAUCAGAGUAGUCUGUCACCUGGUGGUGUUCUGUCCAUAAUUCAUCUCCACUUUCAUCGUGAUGUCUCUAUAUCGAGGCAGAGCCAAAGAAAAUGACUAUCCCCAUGGCAACAGCAACCAAUGCUGAGCAGAGAUUGUGUGAGGACUAUGACGAUAUUGGGGCGGUGACCACUGAGCAUCAGUUCUAAGCUCAUGCUCCAUCAGAGGGAGUUCACUGUGACUGAAUUACAUGUGAUAUCAUAACACCUGGCUUUGCUCAU